AGACCUUCCUCGACACCCCACGUUAUGUGGGUUUCCGCAAGACCUUCCGCCAUUGCCUGGGCUUUGAAAGCGCUUUAGGAACGAUACGGAAACGGAGGCUUAGAAGUGGAAACUUUACAGAUAUGGAAACUGAGACUUAGAAAAAUGACCCGUCAAAGGUAUGAGAAGUGGCAGCACUAAGGCUCUAGUUUGCUACGAAUAUGAUCCUGAUAAUUAAAUCUCUGAGUUUCUCUAUCAAUAUCUUCAAAAACUAGAGUAGUGAUACCUAUCUCACAAAGGUGUUGAGUAGACUAAAAGAAAAGGUAUACGAAGCCCGGAUACUGACUGAGCAUGUUCACUGUGUGUCCAGGCUCUGAGUAGAAGGUGAGCUGUGUGUGAAACAAGCUACCUGCUGACAAUAAAACAAGUCAGGCUGUGGGGCUGAUAGCUGCAGAAGAAUUAUGGGCAUCAGAAUAUAUUUUUAAAAUAUAAACAUUUGAUCCCGUCAUUCCACAGAUGGAACGCUGCAUUUAUAUAACUUGUUUAGUCAUCUACCAGUUUCAUUUGUCUUUCUUGCACUGUCCUGGAGGGCCUCACAGCUACAUUCGGAGGCCACAAGGCAAAUGUACAGUGUGCUUCAAUUGGAACAGGAGUUGCUGUGACUUCUCCCUUCGGAGCAAUCACUGUUGCCCACUCAUAUGGACAUACUGAAGGAAAUUCUUGGAACGAGGGUGUAGUAGAGAGGGAGCAGGGGAAAGAACGAAGGGAAGAUUGAAAGAAGAUGGAGCCACAAAGGAGCCAUAGCCUCCUCACACCUCAGUCUUGUUUUAUCUCUGCCAGCCAUUGUUGUGGUGGCUACUAACAUAAUAUAUGUUAAUCUUCUUACAAAUUAUUUUACUAAUAUCUUACUUGAUAUAUUGAACUUUAAUUAUCUUUCUCCUCAUUGCUCUUACUCCAUCUAUGUAUUUAUUUAUUAUUUUUAUUUUUUAUUUUUUUGAGACAGAGUCUCGCUCUGUCGCCCAGGCUGGAGUGCGGUGGCGCAAUCUCGGCUCACUGCAACCUCCGCCACCCGGGUUCAAGUGAUUCUCAUGCCCCAGCGUCCGGAGUAGCUGGGAUUACAGCGUGCGCCAACAUGCCCAGCUAAUUUUUGUAAUUUUAGUAGAGAUAGGAUUUCACUGUAUUGGCAAGGCUGGUCUCAAACUCCUGUGCUCAGGUGAUCUCCCUGUCUCAGCCUCCCAAAGUGCUGGGAUUACAGGCGUGAACCACCGCGCCGUGCCGUCCAUCUAUUUUAAAAUCAGGUGGCUAAGCAGUCCUGUUUAACUGUAGAAGGAUCACAGAAUUUGAGAGCUGGACGAUACUUCAGAGAUGUAUCAUCCAGGAACUCAAUCUAUCAUGAGAAAACAAAUCCAGAAAAGUUAUGUAAUUUGUCCCAGAUCAAAUGAUGAAUCUACUGCACCCUCAUUCUCUAAAUUGCCUCUCCUAAUCCUCUUACCGACUGAUUCAACCCAGAAAGUCUGGGCAUAUUUAAAUAAAAUUUGUGAGUAAGGCUGAGGUCUCAGCAAAUCUGUUAUGCCCUUAGUUUACAGUCCAGGGAUACCUGUAUACCUGCAGGUUGUGUUAGAGGACUUUGAACAUCUGCCAAGGAAAAGCCCUGAUUAAAGAUAAUGAUGAUUCAGAGUGAAUAGCUUUUCCCAGGAGUUUGCAACAGUAAAAAGGCUAGGAAACAAGAAGUGAACUCUAGGAAAAAGAUGAUCCUGGCUUUAAGAUCUCUUGUGAAGCUUACUAUUCUUCUGUCUCCAAAAUAUUUCCAAGAAACAUAUUCAGUGAUAAACUUUACUGGAAGACACAUGCAUUAGAAAAUAUAUUGUUUAAAAUGCUCCCAUGCUUAGGCUAAAAAGUGAUAGAAGCUCAAAUAUUUGUUUGUGUUUUAAAUGUAUUUAUCAUUGUAUAAUGCUACAUAAAUUUAACAAAAGACUUUUUGAUCAUGAAUUGAUGAUUCUAAAAAUAACCAGUUUGUCAAUAAGGAGUCUAGACUUCAAGCCCCUUGAGGUCAAGAACCAAGUUUUUCUAUAAUCUAAUUUCUAAGAAGAGCUUCAGGUACAGUGGUGAUGUUCAAUAAUGUUUGUCAAUAAAAUAAGUAACUAAUCUCAAAUUUUACAAUACCAGGACUAGUAUAUAAUAUUCCUAAAUACUGGUCUGCCACUUGGGCUAAAAGGUUAGAAUUAUGAAUAAAAGUCUGAUUUUUUUUUCCUGAAGGAUCAUUUUCAAUGCAUUUUUUAAAAGCAACUACCUAUAUUUAAUGAUAUCUACAUUUUUGUAUGCCUUGGUAUUAACAGUAAUUUGGAUCAAUCUUCAACAAAAUAUGAAAGAUAUCAGCUUGAAGGCAUGAGAAAGCUAAAAAGUUAAUGAGGAAUUACCAGGCCAUGAUCUGGGGAAUGAUGGAGGUCAAUUCCGUAGAGGGCUGCUGAGAGGAUGAGCAGGAAUGGGGGACAGAGAUUUGAGUUCAGGGCAUACUAAGAGAGAAAGAGAUGAACUCUGUUGAAGGCCCCUUGCUUUGGACUAGGAAUUCAAAGAGCUCCAUCAUAAAAGUAAAAGGUCUGUAGCUCAGUUUCAGAUCAUCUCAACCUUGAAACUGGAUUAGGAUAAUUCCUUUGAGCUCAUGCCCACAAGCACUUGGCAGAAGCAAACUAAAAUCCUUUCUGGAGUGAAACUAUAUCAUUCUAGGCCUCAAAUAAUUUCUACAGAUAAUUUUGAAAUCACAGUGCCUCGUACACAAUUUUUAAAAAUCAGUUACCUAAGGAAAUUAGAAAAAUAUAGCAGAAACAACAGAGAACAAAAACAGACCCAACAGGGGUCAGGUAAUGAAAUUAUCAGGUACAGAUUUAAAAAUAACAAUGCCUACUAUGUUCAAAUAAAUCAAACACAAGAUUAAAUAUGUGGGCAGACAACUAGAAACUUGAAAAAAGAGCCAGAUGAAAAUUUUGGAACAAAAAAAUUUACUAACUGAAAAUAAAGACUCAAUGAUGGGUUUAAGAGCAUAUUAGGCACAGAUAAAGAUAGAAUUAGUGAACUAGAAGGUAAGUCAGAAGAAACUAUUCAGAAUGAAGCACAAAAAGGAAAAAAGAUGGAAAAUAUAGAACACAUAGAAGAUAGAGUUAGGAAGUUUAAUAUGAACAUAAAUGACAUUCCAAAAGGAAGGGAAAAGGUAUUCAGCUUAAAUAAUAUUUGAACCAAUGAAUCUCCAUCAGGAUAUUUUUUUAAUCCACACAGCUGAUAUAUAGACACAUCAUGAAAAACUUGCUAAAAUCUGAAGACAAGAAGAAAAAUCUUUAAGAGCAGCCAGAGAAAAGAGAGGACUUAAAAAAAAGAAAAUUAGACUUGCAGUUGACUUUUUAACAGAAAUAGCUGAAGCCAGAAAAUGAUGGAAUGACAACUUUAAAGGGAUGAAACAAAUAUUUUUUAAGAAUGAAAGUAAAAUUAAGGAAUUUCCAAAGGAACAAAACAGUAUUCACAGUGGCAUUCCAUAGGCAGGAAGUAAAUGAUCCCAGUUAUAUCAUAGAUAUGGUAGGAAAUAAAGAUCAAGAAAAAUGAUAAAUAUAUAGGUAAAUCUAAAUGAAUAUUGAUACUGACUAUAUAAGACUAUAAUAGUCUUGUCUUCUGUAUUUAAAAAUAUACAGUAGGCUAAGUGCGGUGGUUCACGGCUGUAAUCCCAGCACUUUGGGAGGCUGAGGCAGGAGGACUUGAGCCCAGGAGUUAGAGACAAGCCUGGGCAACAUAGUGAGACCCCAUCUGUACAUAAAAUUAAAAAAUUAGCCAGGCACGAUGGCACAUUCCUGUAGUGGAAAGCCUGGGAAGCUGAGGUGGGAAGAUUGCUUGAGCCCCGUAAGCCAUCAUUGCACCACUGCACUGCACUCUAGCCUGAGCAACAGAGACCCUCUUAAGACACACACACACACACACACACACACACACACGAAAUAAUGGUAUAUGUCAGGAGAAGGUAAAUGGAAUCAAGUGUUCUAAAAUCAGUGCAUUUUCUAGAAGUAUGGAAAAAGUGAUAGUUAAUAUUAGACUCUGGUAAGUCAAGAAUACAUCUUAUGAGCUUUAGAAUAAUCAUUGAGAAAAUAGUAAGAAACUGUAUUAGUCAGGAUUCUUCAGAGAAACAGAAGUGGAGGCUUAGUAGCCUAAAAGCUGUAAGGUAGAACAACAGGCUAGAGACAAAGAAGAGUUGCAGUUUGAGUCCAAAAGCAGUCGGCUAGCAGAAUUCCUUCUUGCCCAUGGGAGAUAAAUCUUUGUUCUAUUAAGGCAUUGGAUAAGAUCUACCCACCUUAUGGAAGGUAAUCUGCUUUAUUAAAGUCUACAGAUUUAAAUGUUAAUCUCAUCCAAAAAACACCUUCACAGAAACAUUUAGAAUAGUGUUUGACCAAACAUUUGGCCACCAGUGGCACUGGCAAGUUGAUUCAUAAAAUAAGCCAGGACACUAUGCAAUUUCCAAUCUAAUUUGAGCAUGUGAGGAAAUAAAAAAUAAUCUAAAUGCAAGAUAGAAGAGAAAUAAGAACAUAUGAUAGAGCAAAUAGAAAGUUGUUAUAAGAUGGUAGACAUAAACCCAAAUAUAUCACUAAUUACACUAAAUGAAAACAGAUCAUAAUUUAAUGACAAAGAUUGUUUUUGUUGCCUAUUGUUAUAUAACAAACUACCCCAAAAUUUAGUAGCUUAGGCCCAGCACGGUGCCUCACACCUGUAAUCCCAGCACUUUGGGAGGCUGAGCAGGUGAAUCACUUGAGGUCAGGAGUUUGAGACCAGCCUAGCUAACAUGGUGAAACCCCAUCUCUAAUAAAAAUGCAAAAAAAUUAGCCAAACGUGGUUGUACCCACCUGUAGUCCCAGCUACUCAGGAGGAUGAGGCACAAGAAUCACUUGAACCAGGAGGUGGAGGUUGCAGUGAGCCCAGAUGGUGCCACUGUACUCCAGCCUGGGCAACAUAGCAAGACCCUAUCUCCAAAAAAAAAAAUGUAGUAGCUUAAAAUCAAAACCAUUUUAUUAUUUUUCCAGAUUCUGUGGGUCAGAAAUUUCAACAGGGCAUAAUGGAGAAGGCUCUCUCUUCUCUGGGUGAUGUCCGCUGGGGCUGAAAUGUUCUAGAUAGCUUCUUCACUCACAUGUCUAGCACCUAGCUAGGAUGGCUCCAAUGGCCGGGGGUUAGAACAGCUUGACUGAUAUCAUAUGUGUGGGGCCUUGGUUCUCACAAUUGAUUGGGUUCUUUGGUUUUUCUACAAGUAGUUCUAGGACUUCUGUUCCACAUGGCCAAUCCAUGUAGCCUCUACAGAAAGAUAGCCGACUUCUUACAUGCAAGCUCAGAGUUCCCAAGAAGAUUAGGUUUAGAACUAACACACUGUCACUUCUGUUACAUUCUAUCAGAUAAAGGAAAUAACAGGCCUAGAGUCAAGAGGAGGAAACUACAUAAGGGUGUAAAUACUAGGAAGUAGGAUGAACCUGGGGCCACCAAUUGAUGUAACCAACUACCACAGAUUGUCACUGGGCAAAAAUAACCACACGCUCUUUACAAGGGGCAUAAUCUAGAACAUAAAAAUACAGAAAGUUUGAAAGUAAAAAAUAGAAAAAAAGUAAACCAUGCAAAAUUACCAAAAGGAAGCUGGAAUAGCUAAAUUAAGUAGAUACUAAGACAAAAAGUACUGGGGCCGGGCACGUUGGCUCACGCCUGUAAUCCCAGCACUUUGGGAGGCCGAGGCGGGCGGAUCACGAGGUCAGGAGAUCGAGACCAUCCUGGCUAACACGGUGAAACCCCAUCUCUACUAAAAAAUACAAAAAAAAUUAGCCAGGUGUGGUGGCAGGCACCUGUAAUCCCAGCUGCUCGGGAGGCUGAGGCAGGAGAAUGGCAUGAACCCAGGAGUUGGAGCUUGCAGUGAGCCGAGAUCACGCCACUGUACUCCAGCCUGGGCAACAGAGUGAGACUCCGUCUCAAAAAAAAAAAAAAAGACGAAAAGUACUGCUGGAGUGAAAGGGAGACUCUUCAUAAUAAUGAAGACUUAAUUUGCCAGGAAGAUAAAAAUAUUCUAAAUUUGUAUUCCUCCAAUAACAUAACCUCAAAAUAUAUAAAGCAAAAAUUACAGAACUACGAGGAAUAAAAAAUCCAGAAUUUUAGGAGGAGAUGUUAACAUAUUCAGUUACUGAUAAAACAGGCAGACAAAAAAUUCAGUGACUAUGGGUCUGAACAAUGCUAUUAGCAAAGUUAAGUAUAAGGACAUAUGGAAUACUUUUCUACAGUCCUUUACACAUGAAGAAAUUCAUUAGUUUAUGUUAUUUCUGCUUUGGCUCAUGAAGCUGGUAAGGAUAUCAGAGGAUCCUGAGCCUUCAGGCUGCUUAGAAUCUAUCCCUAUUUUACAGAUAGACUGUGUACCUUUACCUCAUUCAUUAAAUAAACAUAUUAACUACUGACUAUGUUCCAGGCCCUGCACUUAGUACAGAGAUGAAAAUAGUAGUUAAAACUACAGACAAGCAAAUCAGAAAAUAUAAUUGCAGUAUACAAGUGCAGUGAUAGAGCUUUACAUAAGUAGUAAUGGGAAUCAAGUCCUAACUCAGCCCUGGGAGAUGUCUGAACAAAGAUUGAAGAGAGAAGAAUAUAGAGUAGAGGUAGGAAUGGGAGUGGUAGAAGGAGGGGUGGAACCAUAUCUAGCAAAGCCUAGUGGGGAAAGAGCAUGAUUAUUCAAGUCAGAGAACUGCCAGUCAUUUGGAAUGUCUGGAAUACAAAAGGUUGCUCAAGUUAGGGAUUAUCUGGUUGCAAGAAACAGAAACUCAUGCCAGCUGGCUAAAGUAGGAGAAAUGAAUAUAAAAAUAGGCAGGGAUUAUGUGAGACACAACUGUGGGAAGCACAGCCAACAUUAACAAGAACUCUCCCCUUUCUCUCUCUCACCAUCUAGUCUUGGCUUUUCUUUGUGUGUCUGUUUCACUCUCUGCUCACUUAUAGGCUUACAUGUGGCCCAUUAUGGCUGUCCCAGAUACGGGCCUUGGCUCUCCACCUCUGCUACCAACCCACUUUGUCUAACUUUCCUGCUUAGCAACCCACAGUUAUUACCUAACACAGCCUCAGGGUCCCACUUCCAAAUUCCCAGGAGCCGUAAUCAGAGUGAUGCAGCUUCUACAUGCUUGUAUAUCAGGGGUCAGCAAACUAUGGCCCUGGGGGCCAAAUCUAGCCUGCCUUCCACUUUUGUAAAUAAAGUUUUAAUUGAACAUAGCCACACACAUUCAUUAACAUACUAUUUAUGGCUGCUUUGGCACUACAAAGACAGAGUUGUGCAACUGAGACAGAAAACCAAUGGACCGUAAGGCUGAAAACAUUUACUAUGGCGACCUUUACAGAAAAAGUUUGCUGGCCAGGCACGGUGGCUCACGCCUGUAAUCCCAGUACUUUGGGAGGCCUAGGCGAGUGGAUCACCUGAGGUCAGCAGUUCAAGACCAGCGUGGCCAACAUGGUGAAACCCCGUCUCUACUAAAAAUACAAAAACUACCCGGGCAUGGUGGUGCGAACCUGUAAAUCCCAGCUACUUGGGAGGCUGAGGCAGGAGAAUCGCUUGAACCCGGGAGGCAGAGGUUGCAGUGAGCCGAGAUCACGCCACUGCGCUCCAGCCUGUGCAACAGAGUGAGACUCUGUCUCAAAAAAAAAAAAAGUUUGCUGACUUUGCAGUAAACAGGUCAUGUGGAGGUAUAGAGCUGUAUAAAGAUUUACAGGGCAUCAGCUCUGGUAAUGGAAGCUCUGAAAGUGGAUAACCCCUUUGUGUCUUCAAAAAAAAGGAUAAUGGUGGGGAAAGAAACUGUGGCUGUGGAAGUAUUUUGAGAAAGGAACGGGUUGCAAACUAACACAGGAAAGAAAAUAAUCAGUCUCAAGUGUAUGCUAAAUGUUUUACACAACGGGUGAAAGGGUAAAAGACUGUAACUUCUUACUCUGGAGAAAUUCAUUAAGAUGCUAAAUUUAGGAGCGCGUGUCACCUGUUGUCACCUGUAACUGCCUUUAAAUAACUCACUUGUGGCAAAUUUCCCAGACCCUCCAAGCAUAGCUCUUGCUGAGAUGAACUGGCUGAGGCAUAAUAUUUGCUGACUGUACAAAGAUUUUUAAAUGCAUGUCCAGAAGGUUAAAUAUUGUUUACCUUCCAGAGAGAGAGAGAGAGAGAGAGAGAAGGUACUGAGAGAAAGAGACGGGUAAAUAGAAAGAGGCAGAUAGACUGAGACUUGCUCAGGGAGGAGAAAAUAAAAUCUAGAAUUUACCAUUUUGGUAAAUUUAAGAUCAUUGUGGGGAAAUCUUUGUUAAGAAACACUUUUUCUGGGUGAGUAGAAAAAAUAUUAGAUUUUUUAAAACCCUAAGAUUCAUGGCCAGGUGCGGUGGCUCAUGCCUGUAAUCCCAACACUUUGGGAGGCCGAGGCAGGUGGGUCACUUGAGGGCAGGAGUUCGAGACCAGCCUGGCCAACAUGGUGAAACCCCGUCUCUACUAAAAAUACGAAAAAUUAGCUAGGUGUGGUGGCGAACACCUGUAGUCCCAGCUACUCAGGAGGCUGAGGCAAGAGAAUCGCUUGAACCCGAGAGGCAGAGGUUGCAGUGAGCCGAGACUGCACUACUGCACUUCAGCCUGGGUGACAGAGCAAUACUCUGUCUCAAACAAAACAAAACAAACCCCUAAGCUUCAGAUCCUUACUACUCCAAGUGUGGCCCAAGCACACUCAGCGGUGUUGGCAUCACCAGGAAGUUUAUUAGAAAUGCCAAAUCCCGGCUGGGUGUGGUAACUCAUGCCUGUAAUCCCAAAGCUUUGGGAGGCCAAAGCGGGUGGAUCAUCUGAGGUCAGGAGUUCGAGAUCAGCCUGACCAACAUAGUGAAACCCUGUCUCUACUAAAAAUACAAAAAUUAUCUGAGUAUGGUAGUGGCACGCUCCUGUAAUCCCAGAGAUUAGAGAGGCUGAGGCAGGAGAAUCACUCCAACCCGGGAGGCGGAGGUUGCAGUGAGCUGAGAUCAUGCCACUGCACUCCAGCCUGGGCAACACAGUGAGACCCUGUCUCAAAAAAAAAAAAAGAAAAGAAAAAGAAAUGCAAAAUCCCUGGCCCCAUUCUAGACCCAGUGAAUAAGAACCUGCAUUUUAAAAAUCCCAUAAAUGAUUCUGUUAAGAAAAAGUUAUUCAAUGACACUUGUUAAAGCAUGGUAAGGCAGACUUUAUUCAGAACCAUCAUGAUAGGUAUAGGGACCACUGCAAUGAGAUUUUACAGUGGGGAUGAGAGACUGGGCUCAACUCAGAAUACAGCAGGACAAGUGGGAAUUUAUAGCCAAGGAGCAGGUAGGGGCCAGUGGAUGAAAAAUUACUAAGAGCAAACAUCGGCAGUAAGGAGGAUUCUGGCUAAACUAACCUAAGAAGGUUUCUUCUGCUAUAGACAUCCUCUAUAAUCAGACAUCCUCUGGAGGAUGGCAGAGGAUGAAGAAUCCAGUCAGAUACUAAAGGUGGGGGAGGUUCUUGCUAAACUGACGUAGCAGAGUUCUUUGCUAAAAAUGGACUUUACAAGACAGUGUACAAAUAUGCUGGAAGAAGGUUUGGUCGAGCAGAGAAUUUUUGUCAAUUCUAAUUACAUUAAAGUAAGAGAAGCAAUGAAUUAGUACAGUAGUUUUCAGAUGGUUUAAAAUGGAACAGUUGUUUUGUUUCAUAUUCUUUGAAUGAAAUCUUUCAUAAAGCCCAAUUCAUAAAAUAGAUCAAAGUAGACCUGUUCUGAUUGAAGAUGGGAGGAUACUGGAAGGCAGGGAAGGGCUGGAAAACCCAGGUAUGUUUAUUCGAUGUUCCUCCAAGAACACAGUUUGAAAACCACUGAUCUAACAGAAUGAGCAGAAGUAAUAGAAUCCUCAGGCCCAGGGUCUGUUAAACUACCAGGCUGUUUUCCAGCUCCACCUCAUUGAGAACUACUACAAUGAAUCCAUGUUAGGGAUGAGACAUGUCCUGUUUUGAAAGAGUACACAUUUUUAAAAACUUGGGAAUCACUGAUAUAGAUCACAUUUUUCAACUCAGAAAUAAAGCGGCCAGGUGCUGUGGCUCACACCUGUAAUCCCAGCACUUUGGGAGGCCAAGACAAGCAGAUCACUUGAGGUCAAGAGUUUGAGACCAGCCCGGCCAACAUGGUGAAACACCCUCUCUACUAAAAAUACAAAAAAUUAGCUGGGCAUGGUGGCUUAUGCCUGUAAUCCCAGCUACAUGGGAGGCUGAGGCAGGAGAAUUGUUUUAGCCUGGGAGACAGAGGUUGCAGUGAGCUGGGAUUGCGACACUGCACUCCAGCCUGGGCAACAGAGCAAGACUUCGUCUCAAAAUAAAUAAAUAAAGCAUCUAGGGCUCAGAAGGUGACCAUUUAAACUUCAUUAAAACACAGCUACAUUUAAAGCUAUACUAAUUGCUAACAAAAGAAACAAACCUAAUAUUCAAUAAAUCUUAGGGACGGGGACCUGCCAAGAUGGCAAAAUAGGAACAGCUCUGGUCUGCAUCUCCCAGCGGGACCAAUGCAGAAGGUGGAUGAUUUCUGCAUUUCCAACUAAAGUACCCUGUUCAUCUCACUGGGACUGGUUAGACAGUGGGUGCAACCCAUGGAGGGCGAGCAGAAGCAGGGUAGGGCAUCGCCUCACCUGAGAAGUGCAAGGGCUGGAACCUCCCUCCCCUAGCCAAGGAAAGCCAAGAGGGACUGUGCUAUCCCGCCGAGAUACUAUGCUUUUCCCACGGUUUUUGCAACCUGCAGACCAGGAGAUUCCCUUGUGUGCCUACACCACCAGGGCCCUGGGUUUCAAGCACAAAACUGGGCAGCUGUUUGGGCAGACACCAAGCUAGCUGCAGGAGUUUUUUUUUUUUUUUUUUUUGGACCCCAGUGGUGCUUGGAACCCCAGCGAGAGAACCAUUCACUCCUCUGGAAAGGGGCCUGAAGCCAGGGAGCCAAGUGGUCUUGUUCAGCGGGUCCCACUCCCACGGAGCCCAGCAAACUAAGAACCUCUGGCUCAAAAUUGUUGCUGCCAGAACAGCAGUCUGAAGUCAACCAGGGACAAUCAAGCUUGGUGGGAGGAGAGGCAUCCGCCAUUACUGAGGCUUGAGUAGGUGGUUUUCCCCUCACACUGUUAAGGAAGCCACCCAGAAGUUUGGACUAGGCAGAACUCACUGCAGCGCAGAAAAACGGCUGUGGCCAGAUUGCCUCUCUAGAUUCCUCCUCACUGGGCAGGGCAUCUCUGAAAGAAAGGCAGCAGCCUGAGUCGGGCUUAUAGAUAAAACUCCCAUCUCAGUGUGACAGAGCAGCUGGGGGAAGGGGCAGCUGUGAGCACAGCUUCAGCAGACUUAAACGUUCCUGCCUGCUGGCUCUGCAGAGAGCAGCAGAUCUCCCAGCACAGUGCUCGAGCUCUGCUAAGGGACAGUCUGCCUCCUCAAGUGGGUCCUUGACCCCCAUGCCUCCUGACUGGGAGACACUUCCCAGCAGGGGUGGACAGGCACCUCAUACAAGAGAGUUCCAGCUGGCCUCAGGUGGGUGCCCCUCUUGGAUGAAGCUUCCAGAGGAAGGAGCAGGCAGCAAUCUUUGCUGUUCUACAGCCUCUGCUGGUGAUACCCAGGCAACAGGGUCUGGAGUAGACUUCCAGCAGACCUGCAGAAGAGGGGCCUGCCUGUUAGGAGGAAAACUAAGAAACAGAAAGCAAUAUCAAUAUCAACAAAAUGGAUGCCCACAAAAAAACCCCAUCCAAAGGUCAUCAGCAUCAAAGAUCAAAGGUAGAUAAAUCCACGAAGAUGAGGAAAAACCAGCACAAAAAUGCUGAAGAUUCCAAAAACCAGAAUGGCUUUUCUCCUCCAAAUGAUCGCAGCUACUCUCCAGCAAAGGCACAAAACUGGACGGAGAAUGAGUUUGAUGAACUGACAGAAGGAGGCCUCAGAAGGUGGGUAAUAACAAACUCCUCUGAGCUAAAGGAGCGUGUUCUAACCCAAUGCAAGGAAGCUAAGAACCUUGAUAAAAGGUUGCAAGAACUGCUAACUAGAAUAACCAGUUUAGAGAAGAAUAUAAAUGACCUGAUGGAGCUGAGAAACACAGCACGAGAACUUCGUGAAGCAUAUACAAGUAUCAAUAGCUGAAUCGAUCAAGUGGAAGAAAGGAUAUCAGAGAUUGAAGAUCAACUUAAUGAAAUAAAGCGUGAAGACAAGAUUAGAGAAAAAAGAAUGAAAAGGAAUGAACAAAGCCUCCAAGAAAUAUGGGACUAUGUGAAAAGACCAAAAGUACGAUUGAUUGGUGUACCUGAAAGCGAUGGGGAGAAUGGAAUCAAGUUGGAAAACACACUUUAGAAUAUUAUCCAGGAGAACUUCCCCAACCUAGCAAGGCAGGCCAACAUUCAAAUUCAGGAAAUACAAAGAAUACCACAAAGAUAUUCCUCGAGAAGAGCAACCCCAAGACACAUAAUUGUCAGAUUCUCCAAGGCUGAAAUGAAGGAAAAAAUGUUAAGGGCAGCCAGAGACAAAGGUCAGGUACCUACAAAGGGAAGCCCAUCAGACUAACAGCAGAUCUCUUUGCAGAAACCCUACAAGCCAGAAGAGAGUGGGGGCCAAUAUUCAACAUUCUUAAAGAAAAGAAUUUUCAACCCAGAAUUUCAUAUCCAGCCAAACUAAGCUUCACAAAUGAAGGAAAAAUAAGAUCCUUACUGACAAGCAAAUGCUGAGGGAUUUUGUGACCACGAGGCCUGCCUUACAAGAGCUCCUGAAGGAAGCACUAAAUAUGGAAAGGAAAAACCGGGACCAGCCACAACAAAAACACCAAAACAUAAAGAAGAAACUGCAUCAACUAAUGUGCAAAAUAACCAGUUAGCAUCAUGAUAACAGGAUCGAAUUCACACAUAACAAUAUUAACUUUAAACGUAAAUGGGCUAAAUGCCCCAAUUAAAAAACACAGACUGGCAAGUUGGAUAAAAUAUACAGCACACUCCAUCAGUGUGCAAAGACACACAUAGGCUCAAAAUAAAGGGAUGGUGGAAAAUUUACCAAGCAAAUGGAAACAAAAAAAAAGCAGGGUUUGCAAUCCUAAUCUCUGAUAAAACAGACUUUAAACCAACAAAGAUUAAAAAAGACAAAGAAGGGCAUUACAUAAUGGUAAAGGUAUCAAUGCAACAAGAAGAGCUAACUAUCCUGAAUAUAUAUGCACCCAAUACAGGAGCAGCCAGAUUCAUAAAGCAAGUUCUUAGAGACCUACGAAGAGACUUAGAACCCCACUGUCAAUAUUAGGCAGAUCAAUGAGACAAAAAAUUGACAAGGGUAUUCAGAACUUGAACUCAGCUCUGGACCAAGUGGACCUAGUAGACAUCUACAGAACUCUCCACCCCAAAUCAACAGAAUAUACAUUCUUCUCAGCAGCACAUAGCACUUAUUCUAAAAUUGACCACAUAAUUGGUAGUAAAACACUCCUCAGCAAAUGCAAAAGAAUGGAAAUCAUAAAAAACAGUCUCUCAGACCACAAUGCAAUCAAAUUAGAACUCAGGAUUAAGGAACUCAUUGAAAACCACACAACUACAUGGAAACUGAAGAUCCUACUCCUGAAUGACUACUGGGUAAAUAACAAAAUAAAGGCAGAAAUAAAUAAGUUAUUUGAAACCAAUGAGAACAAAGACAUAACAUACCAGAAUCUCUGGGACACACUUAAAGCAGUAUUUAGAGGAAAAUUUAUAGCACUAAAUGCACACAUCAGAAAGCAGGCAAGAUCUAAAAUCAACACCCUACAUCACAAUUAAAAGAACUAGAGAAGGCCAGGCGCAGUGGCUCACGCUUGUAAUCCCAGCACUUUGGGAGGCCAAGGCGGGUGGAUCACCUGAGGUCAGGAGUUCAAGACCAACCUGACCAACAUGGAGAAACCCUGUCUGUACUAAAAAUACAAAAUUAGCCAGGCAUGGUGGUGCAUGCCUCUAAUCCCAGCUGCUUGGGAGGCUGAGGCAGGAGAAUUGCUUGAACCUGGGAGGCAGAGGUUGCAGUGAGCCAAGAUCGCACCACUGCACUGCAGCUGAGGAACAAGAGCAAUACU
This 14033-nucleotide long non-coding RNA is filed under the name Homo sapiens (human). RNAcentral describes it as "non-protein coding lnc-FBXO11-1:10". Lineage: Eukaryota; Metazoa; Chordata; Mammalia; Primates; Hominidae. The record is from RNAcentral.